This is a long non-coding RNA of Paramisgurnus dabryanus, 640 nucleotides long. RefSeq lists it as uncharacterized. The record is from RefSeq and is a predicted model, not a curated record. Lineage: Eukaryota; Metazoa; Chordata; Actinopteri; Cypriniformes; Cobitidae.
UGGUCACAUAUGUUGAAAUGGAGCUGCCUUGAACCUGGCUUUCGACAAUGGAGUAUGUCACCUGGCCGUUCGAACCCAAAUCCGGAUCAGUGGCCACGACUGAGGUCAGAUACGCUCCAGACAUCCAGAGCACAUGAUGAUUGGUGGCGUCUGCCAAGUGGACGCAGAGGGGGAGGCGUCCAGCUCUGGGACAUCACUGGAUCAGUAUGGGUUGGGACCAACAUUGCAUACUUGGGAGAGAUUGGGGUGACAAAACCAUUCCCUUUUGUCCUUGGCUUUGAAGAUGGUGAUCUGUGCCAUCAAGCCUUUGUUGUUUUUGGCAGACACUCACUCCAGCAGUACACCCUCCUUGGUGCUGUUGACGCGUUUUAAACUUUUUUUAUUUUUUGAACAUUUAUUUUCUCAAGCAGUGCGCAACAGUGGAGGUGAUUUGCAGAUCGUUGUUUACAAACUCCUAAGAACUGAAUCCCCUUCUAUAAGAAGUCUGUGUAGUUAUUUGUCAUGCUAAGGUUAUAAUUCAUGUUUAUCAUAUGUUGACUGUUUGUGCAACUUUGUGUUGGUCUUAUUUGUUACAUUAACCAUUUCUUAUUACACGGUUCUCUAAAACGGUUCUCGUGACAUUUUACUACUGCUCAAAAAA